AACGUACGCUGGCGGCACGCCUAACACAUGCAAGUCGAACGAAGUAGCAAUACUUAGUGGCAGACGGGUGAGUAACAUGUAGGUAUCUGCCCUUUGGCCUGGAAUAACACGAGGAAACUUGUGCUAAUACCGGAUAAGUCUUUACGGAGAAAGCUUUAUGCACCAUUGGAUGAGCCUGCACUUGAUUAGUUUGUUGGUGGGGUAAUGGCCUACCAAGACUGUGAUCAAUAGCUGAUUUGAGAGGAUGAUCAGCCACAUUGGGACUGAGACACGGCCCAAACUCCUACGGGAGGCAGCAGUGGGGAAUCUUGCACAAUGGAGGAAACUCUGAUGCAGCGAUGCCGCGUGAGUGAAGAAGGCCCUUGGGUUGUAAAGCUCUUUCGUCGGGGAAGAAAAUGACUGUACCCGAAUAAGAAGGUCCGGCUAACUUCGUGCCAGCAGCCGCGGUAAUACGAAGGGACCUAGCGUAGUUCGGAAUUACUGGGCUUAAAGAGUUCGUAGGUGGUUGAAAAAGUUAGUGGUGAAAUCCCAGAGCUUAACUCUGGAACUGCCAUUAAAACUUUUCAGCUAGAGUAUGAUAGAGGAAAGCAGAAUUUCUAUUGUAGAGGUGAAAUUUCGUAGAUAUUAGAAAAGAAUACCAAUUGCGAAGGCAGCUUUUCUGCAUCAUUACUGACACUGAGGAACGAAAGCAUGGGUAGCGAAGAGGAUUAGAUACCCUCGUAGUCCAUGCCGUAAACGAUGUGUGUUAGACGUUGGAAAUUUAUUUUCAGUGUCGCAGGGAAACCGAUAAACACACCGCCUGGGGAGUACGACCGCAAGGUUAAAACUCAAAUGAAUUGACGGGGACCCGCACAAGUAGUGGAGCAUGUGGUUUAAUUCGAAGAUACGCGCAGAACCUUACCAACACUUGACAUGUUGGUCGCGACUCUAAGAGAUUAGAGUUUUCGGUUCGGCCGGACGAAACACAGGUGCUGCAUGGCUGUCGUCAGCUCGUGUCGUGAGAUGUUGGGUUAAGUCCCGCAACGAGCGCAACCCUCACUUUUAGUUGCCAUCAUUAAGUUGGGCACUCUGAAAGAACUGCCAGUGAUAAGCUGGAGGAAGGUGGGGAUGACGUCAAGUCCUCAUGGCCCUUACGUGUUGGGCUACACACGUGCUACAAUGGUAUCUACAACAGGAAGCAAGACUGCGAAGUUAAGCAAAUCCCUAAAAGAUACCUCAGUUCGGAUUGCACUCUGCAACUCGAGUGCAUGAAGCUGGAAUUACUAGUAAUCGUGGAUCAGCGUGCCACGGUGAAUGCGUUCCCGGGUCU
This 1309-nucleotide ribosomal RNA is filed under the name uncultured bacterium. RNAcentral describes it as "bacterial SSU rRNA". It matches the Rfam family "Bacterial small subunit ribosomal RNA", at positions 28 to 1381 of the family's 1533-position model. The record is from RNAcentral.